CACGUAGGGGGCGAGCGUUGUCCGGAAUUACUAGGCGUAAAGGGUGCGUAGGUGGUUUCUUAAGUCAGAGGUGAAAGGCUACGGCUCAACCGUAGUAAGCCUUUGAAACUGGGAAACUUGAGUGCAGGAGAGGAGAGUGGAAUUCCUAGUGUAGCGGUGAAAUGCGUAGAUAUUAGGAGGAACACCAGUUGCGAAGGCGGCUCUCUGGACUGUAACUGACACUGAGGCACGAAAGCGUGGGGAGCAAACAGGAUUAGAUACCCUGGUAGUCCCUGAG
RNAcentral lists this ribosomal RNA (277 nucleotides) under uncultured prokaryote. RNAcentral's name for it is "partial 16S ribosomal RNA". It matches the Rfam family "Bacterial small subunit ribosomal RNA", at positions 524 to 801 of the family's 1533-position model. The record is from RNAcentral.